AAGGUAGCGAAAUUCCUUGUCGGGUAAGUUCCGACCUGCACGAAUGGCGUAACGACGGCCACACUGUCUCCACCCGAGACUCAGUGAAAUUGAAAUCGCUGUUAAGAUGCAGUGUAUCCGCGGCUAGACGGAAAGACCCCGUGAACCUUUACUAUAGCUUCACAGUGAACUUUGAACCUAUUUGUGUAGGAUAGGUGGGAGGCUUUGAAGCGGUGACGCCAGUCAUCGUGGAGCCAAACUUGAAAUACCACCCUGGUAUGUUUGAGGUUCUAACUCAGGUCCGUAAUCCGGAUCGAGGACACUGUGUGGUGGGUAGUUUGACUGGGGCGGUCUCCUCCCAAAGAGUAACGGAGGAGCACGAAGGUAUGCUAAUCAUGGUCGGAAAUCAUGAGGUUAGUGCAAUGGCAUAAGCAUGCUUAACUGCGAGACAGACACGUCGAGCAGAUACGAAAGUAGGUCAUAGUGAUCCGGUGGUUCUGAAUGGAAGGGCCAUCGCUCAACGGAUAAAAGGUACUCCGGGGAUAACAGGCUGAUACCGCCCAAGAGUUCAUAUCGACGGCGGUGUUUGGCACCUCGAUGUCGGCUCAUCACAUCCUGGGGCUGGAGCAGGUCCCAAGGGUAUGGCUGUUCGCCAUUUAAAGUGGUACGCGAGCUGGGUUUAGAACGUCGUGAGACAGUUCGGUCCCUAUCUGCCGUGGGCGCAGGAGAUUUGAGAAGAGUUGCUCCUAGUACGAGAGGACCGGAGUGAACGAACCUCUGGUGUUCCGGUUGUCACGCCAGUGGCAUUGCCGGGUAGCUACGUUCGGACAGGAUAACCGCUGAAAGCAUCUAAGCGGGAAGCCCCCUUCAAGAUGAGAUCUCACAGGACUUUAAGUCCCUAAAGAGCCGUUCAAGACUAGGACGUUGAUAGGUUGGGUGUGUAAGCACGGUAACGUGUUGAGCUAACCAAUACUAAUUGCUCGUGAGGCUUGACCAU
RNAcentral lists this ribosomal RNA (976 nucleotides) under marine metagenome. RNAcentral describes it as "bacterial LSU rRNA". It matches the Rfam family "Bacterial large subunit ribosomal RNA", at positions 1953 to 2925 of the family's 2925-position model. The record is from RNAcentral.